GAUGAAGAACGUAGCGAAAUGCGAUAAGUAAUGUGAAUUGCAGAAUUCAGUGAAUCAUCGAAUCUUUGAACGCACAUUGCGCCCGCCAGUAUUCUGGCGGGCAUGCCUGUUCGAGCGUCAUUACAACCCUCAGGCCCCCGGGCCUGGCGUUGGGGAUCGGCGGAAGCCCCCUGCGGGCACAACGCCGUCCCCCAAAUACAGUGGCGGUCCCGCCGCAGCUUCCAUUGCGUAGUAGCUAACACCUCGCAACUGGAGAGCGGCGCGGCCACGCCGUAAAACACCCAACUUCUGAAUGUUGACCUCGAAUCAGGUAGGAAUAUCCGCUGAACUUAAGCAUAUCAAUAAGCGGAGGA
Molecule: unclassified non-coding RNA, 353 nt
Filed under: soil metagenome
Description: partial contains 5.8S ribosomal RNA, internal transcribed spacer 2, and large subunit ribosomal RNA
Rfam family: 5.8S ribosomal RNA (bases 1-120)
Source: RNAcentral